Molecule: transfer RNA, 58 nt
Filed under: Dilophotes sp. AJa LB-2014
Lineage: Eukaryota; Metazoa; Arthropoda; Insecta; Coleoptera; Lycidae
Also listed under: 2 other names
Description: tRNA-Leu
Source: RNAcentral
UGUGGCAGAAUAGUGCAAUAAAUUUAAGAUUUAUAAAAAAAGCAAACCUUUCAUUAGA